RNAcentral lists this small nucleolar RNA (82 nucleotides) under Stegastes partitus (bicolor damselfish). The record is from RNAcentral. Lineage: Eukaryota; Metazoa; Chordata; Actinopteri; Pomacentridae.
UCAGUCUAUGAUGAUCACUAUCCGCCUUGGUUGAGUUUAACUGCCAUGAAAAAACCUCACAUGCACUACCAUCUGAGACAGG